RNA transcript from Musa acuminata AAA Group (dessert banana), 1219 nucleotides. It is a transcript of the gene named putative L-ascorbate peroxidase 6, with no coding region annotated. The transcript is spliced from 10 exons. NCBI's taxonomy places the organism in Eukaryota, Viridiplantae, Streptophyta, Magnoliopsida, Zingiberales, Musaceae. The record is from RefSeq and is a predicted model, not a curated record.
GUGGAUAAAAAUUGAUUGUGCGGUUCGCGAGAUGGCGAACGGCAGUAAGCGCGAAAAAGCCUCGCUCUUCCUGCGACCGCGGAUACGCGGACGGCAGUAGGGUUAGGUGCUGCAGGACAUCGACGAUGGCGAUGCUGCAGCAGCCACUCCACCUCAGCGCACUGCUUUCCGUUCGUCCGAGGUGUACAAGCAGUAGCAGCCGAAGAAGGACGAAUCCGAAGCUCUUUCCCGCGUUUAGAUGCCGAAUAAUGGAAGCGAAGCAGGUGGAUGCUCGCAGUAAUGAGAGAGACCCUCUUUCUCAUAUGGAAAAAAUCGUAGCAUCAUCUCGGAGGAGAAGGCUUAUCUUAACAUUGCUAAUUCCUAUUAUGUUUCCUCAACAUCAUAUAGCAAAAGCGGUCGAUGUAGGAGAAGCAUCAAUUCUUCAAAAUGGGGUGAGGAAUUUGAUGUCCAAGGCAAAAGCUGCUGGUUUGCUCCGUUUGGCUUUCCAUGAUGCAGGAACAUUUGAUUUGGAUGACAAAUCAGGUGGUAUGAAUGGUUCCAUAGUUUAUGAACUCGACAGACCUGAAAAUGCUGGCCUUAACAAAUCUCUGAAGGUAUUAGAGAAAGCCAAGAUGGAAAUUGAAAAAAAUCAGCAAGUAUCUUGGGCGGACCUGAUUGCUGUGGCUGGUGCUGAGGCUGUUUCAUUCUGUGGAGGGCCUGUUAUUCCUGUUCAAUUAGGUCGGCUGGAUGCAAGGACACCAGAUCCUCAAGGGAAGCUUCCUCAAGAAACUCUUGAUGCCUCUGGUCUAAAGAAAUGCUUUUUGAAGAAAGGCUUUUCUGGAAUUAUGUUGACAGGACACAGGAACUUGUUGCAUUAUCUGGAGCACAUACAAUUGGAAACAAAGGUUUUGGAAGUCCUGUUGUUUUUGACAAUGCUUACUUCAAUAUACUACUCGAAAAAACAUGGACAUCUUCAGGUGGCAUGUUGAGCAUGAUAGGGCUUCCAUCAGAUCGAGCACUAGCCGAGGACGAGGAGUGCUUAAGGUGGAUUAAGAUCUAUGCUGGUGAUCAAGCCAAGUUUUUCGAUGAUUUUAGGAAUGCAUACAUCAAGCUUGUAAACUCUGGUGCUUCAUGGAGAAUUGUCUGACUAGAUUCUUGUUAUACUUAAAAAGAUAUAGUUUUUCUCUCUUCUCUUCGUGUAAUUAUAGAAUGGCAAAUUAAGAAGUAGAUUUGAUCUCUA